Clupea harengus (Atlantic herring) is the source of this 1042-nucleotide long non-coding RNA. RefSeq lists it as uncharacterized. NCBI's taxonomy places the organism in Eukaryota, Metazoa, Chordata, Actinopteri, Clupeiformes, Clupeidae. The transcript is spliced from 3 exons. The record is from RefSeq and is a predicted model, not a curated record.
UUAUAACAUUUUGAUCUUUUUUGAUUUCUUCUGUUUUCUGCUGAACCAGACAGCUAUGAGGACUUUUCUUCCAGUGCUCCAUCUGCUCACCCUCUGGGCCGUAGGGAUGGGAGAAAUUAGGCUUCGUCAAGAUGUCUUACUUGAAGUGGUCAAACAAAUAAGAGGGGUUAAACUGGAAGGUCAGUUUGCCAUGGCUGUCAGAAUCCCCCAAGAACAGUGCGUGAAUGGAGGAUUUACCCUUACUGAGUACUACAAGGACAUCAAAAAGAGCAUAGGCGAGCGAUUUACCAAAACAAUAUAUUCUGCUGGGUUGCGAACACAGAUCAUUGCAGCCAGACCCCAUGGACUGCAUGCUGAGCUGCGUGUCCUGCAAGCUCUACGUAAACAAACCGUUAAUACAAAUGACUGUAUAGUGUUGUAUUCAUUGUACUCUCCUUGCCUGGAAUGCAUGAAAGUGCAUGGUGAUAAGAACAUUAUUGAUGAACUUAUAUUUGGUAACUUGCCCAGAUCCCAAACAGCCUUUGUAUUCGACGUGGUCUACAACCCUUCCAAAUCCCUUCAAUCAAAACCCAAACCCACUAAAGCCCAAGUGUCAGAAGGCUUUGAUCAUAUCAGCAUUUUUACCAAUUUGUACUAUUGCAAAAAAGACGAGUGUGAAUGGUGUGGCAGGAAUAAUGUUAAUGAGAACCCUUGUUUGGAUGAUUAUUAAGGGUGAAGAGGACACUGGAGGGCUGUGGGUUGGAGUUAGGCUUGCCUUGUUCCUAUAAUGUUCUUUCUUUUAGAUUGCAUCAUAACAUUUUAUGUAAAUAUAUAUAUAUCAUUAUCCAGCAAAUGCUUAUUUGUAACAAAUCAAUUCUUUGAAGUGUUGGAAUCUAGUAUAACAGCAUAGCAAGCUUUUAGAAUAAUUCUUGCUAUGCUAUUCUCCCUGCUUGCUCUUGUGAUGCCACUGCAACUAUGUGAAUAUUCCCUCUCUUUAACUCCCUCCCUUCUUUGUUCAUUGUAUCUGCAUAUUUACCGUUCAAUAAAGUGCACUAUGACAGGA